UACGUAGGGCGCAAGCGUUGUCCGGAAUUAUUGGGCGUAAAGAGCUCGUAGGCGGUUUGUCGCGUCUGUCGUGAAAGCUUGGGGCUUAACCCCAAGUCUGCGGUGGAUACGGGCAGACUAGAGGCAGGUAGGGGAGAACGGAAUUCCCGGUGUAGCGGUGAAAUGCGUAGAUAUCUGGAGGAAUACCGGUGGCGAAGGCGGCAUCCUGGACCGGCAUUGACGCUGAGGAGCGAAAGCGUGGGGAGCAAACGGG
RNAcentral lists this ribosomal RNA (253 nucleotides) under uncultured bacterium. RNAcentral describes it as "partial 16S ribosomal RNA". It matches the Rfam family "Bacterial small subunit ribosomal RNA", at positions 524 to 776 of the family's 1533-position model. The record is from RNAcentral.